CUACGCGCUACACAUCCUCGGCGGCCUCGCCGACGUGCUCCACGUUCUUCCAAUUCGAGUAUGAGCUGCUCCCCGAGGACCUCUUUGUCGUCUGCAAUUGAAGCGCCACGAGCUCCACACCCGCGGCAUCCUCCAAUCGAGUCGGUCCGUCUCGGAGAUGGCUGGUCUGAUCCCUGGUUUGAUCUGUGAUGUUGACGUGGAGGAACUAUGCUCUCCUAUUGCCAUCUACUUAUAAUAUUCUUUGUCAAGGACCAAGGUAUGGGUGUGGUGGCCGAAUAGUAAAAUAUCCUAUACGUUUCAUCAGUUUUUGCUUCAUAUCUGUUAGACAAUCCUUGCUUGUGCAAGUGCAUAGAUGUUCUGGUGGUAACAAAUGAAACUGUCUUCUAUAGUAUCCAUAAGCAGUGGCCACUGGUUUCAAUUACUUAUCCAGAAUCUUCUUGAGGAUGAAUUUUGAGUAUUGUAAAUGUUCGUAUAUGCCUCCCUGAACCAGUAUCCACACAGGCAACUCUAUGUUGCUCUUUGUAGAAAUACAUCUAGAAGGAAUAUAAAUUUUCUUACUUUCUCGGAUAAGAAAAAGGAAGGCGAGUCCAACUCAUUGCAAAUUUUACAAAAUGAUCUACAAAUAAGUCUCAAUGUGUAGUCCAAGGUAUAAAGGAAGUACAAUUUGGUGGCAGUAAAAAAACAAUUUAUCUAAUAGGGCAUUUCAUCUAAAAUUGCUUCUCAUGUAUGGUUCUGAAGUUUGUGCAGAGGACUUCUAGAAAAUAUAACUUUAGAUACUUGCUUUAGUGUUUAUGAUAUUUUGGUAUAAAAAAAUCAUACAUGUGUUUAAAUUAUUUUUUGGUAGUUCUCUUUGUUACUCCCGCUGUUCAAAAAAUUGGGAUGGCGCCUACAGCAGGUCUCUUUGUCAUGGAAGCCCCUCCUUUGCUUGGUAGCUCCACAUCCAAUUUUUCAGCUCACACGCCAAUUUUUUUCCCUUGAUGUCGGUUACCGGCAUCUUUUUUUUUGCAGAAUCUUGAUUGAUGUAAGAAAGUUACAAGAGGCCCGGUACAUUUUUUUUUGUGUGUGUAUAUGCACAUGUACACUCGCUACUUCUAUAUGCACAUGAUUCUGAAGCAUCUCUUACUAUACAUUUUGCUUUGUUUAAAUACACUACAAGCUCAGUUUUUUCCUUUGUCUGAAUGUAACACAGGCAAUUAUGUAUGCAGCAGUGAUUAUGUGAUGUCCUUUAUAUAAAAUCGCAUGACUUCGUCAGACAUAUGCACAUAUAUACUCAGUAUCAGCUCCAACUACACUUGGAUUUUUGGUUCUCACCAAAUCACUGAAAUAUUUGAAAAUUCAUGAUUUACAUGGAAGGUCCAAAAGAUGUUCGAUAAGCUUAGGAGUUUUCCGGAGAAACCCUUGGAUUUAGGUCUGAAGCUGAAGAACUACAAGGUCAAAGAAGCAGCAAGUCGUACGCCCCAAAUGUUAUAGCCCUCGUGCCAACAAAGUGCUAAAGGAAAACAAAAAGGGUUGGUAUCCUGUACUUUACCGCCUGGCAAAACAAUCUGCUUGCAUAUUUCUUAAUUUUCGUACCCAACCAUUUAUGUCCAACUUGCAAUGAAUGGUCGACGGCAGUAACAUGCCCAACAUAACUUGCCCCAAUGGUAUGCCAUAUGCUCGAACAAGUUUAUUUAUACCAUCAUUACAUAUGUCGUUCCUGGCGGUGCUGAUGCCAAUUACCCUGAGCCAUUAUGCCUGCUCCUAACCGCAGUCAUCCCUCCAUAAGUUAUGUGUUUCUCCUAUCAGAUCCAAGAAUUUGGUCAUUUUUUGGAGUAGAGAUGUGUAUCAGAUACGUGUGCGAUUGAAACCGUGCUCUCUCCUAAACAUGUGAUUUGCUAAAUGUUUAGAAUGAAUCGGUUGCGGAUCCGCAUAGCACCUUGUGAGCUGCACAUUUAGACUUUCUGUUUGAUUCCUUGUAGAAGCUCGCAGUUCAUCCUUGCUGAAAUUCACUGUACUCCAUCCCUCGGGCUGGUACCAGAUUUGCUAUUCAGUAUCUAGACCAUAUUUUAAUUGUGACGUGUGUCAGAUUUUUGUACUUGGCCUGAUUUGGUGUAAGGCAAAUAGGGGAUCAUGAUCAAGGAUGACUAAAUGUAUUAUUUAGUAGAUAAGUUCUCGAGUCCCACACUUUGUAUCAAGUACUUUAACUUCACAGUCUUCGGAAAAAAUAUUAGUCUGUGUUUAACAUAAUUUGAAAUAAUCACUUUUACAAAAAAACAUAUGCGUACUUGUGUUGUUGUGUGAGAUCUACUUGGAAGUGCUAUAUGAUAAAAUAUAUGUAGCAUUAAUAAUAUCCUUCUGAUUUGUGGUCUGAUAUGUGCUAAUGAGUGCAGUGUUGCUUGUAGAUAGAUUUUUCAUGACUUCAAGUUGUGCCUUCCAACUCCAAGAUGAUGUGUCCCAAAGCCCGUGAGUUCAUAUCUCACUUUUAAUCUCUCAAGUAAAUUUUGAUAUUGUGUAAGUUCUAUAAGGUUGAAAUCCCAUGGAAAAUAUCGCUAUUCUUUUUCUAAGACACUCAUAUGCCUACAUGAACCAGCAAAUUAUUGGAAUGUUUCUUAAAGAAGUACUCCUUUGUAAACUAAUAUAAGAUCUUUAUCUAUUACUCCCUCUGUUAACUAAUAUAAGAGCGUUUAGAUUACUAUUUUAGUGAUCUAAAUGCUCUUAUAUUAGUUUAUAGAGGGAGUAGUUUACAGAGGGAGUACUCUUAAUUGGUUUAGUUCCAUGGCAUAGCAAAUCCUAUCUGACUCUUAUUUUGAUAGUCGACCAAACACACCAUAUCGUGGGCUAGCAUAGCAUGGUCAGAUAUGAGACCGAGGGCUUGAAGUGGAGCCAGAGACUACGCGACCAAAUUAGAUUUUUGUGCAUUAUAUGGUGUCUUGGCAGAUUUGCAUUAUAUGGUGUCUUGGCAGAUUUAGAUUCCCCUUAAAAAAAUGCCAUUGACUCUAUGUUGAAUACUAUUUCGGGGUUACAAGGCAACAACAGCUAGACCAAAUUCUGUAAUUUAGCAUGUUCAGCGCAUUCUGGUUGUGAGUAGGUGUAUUUUAGUUCAAGGAUUAUGUGUGCUUGUGGGCACUUGCAGUUUACGUUUUGUCAAAUUUUGCUCAGUUGUUCUUGUGCAGUUAUUUGAUUACUAUUUGACCUACAUCAUUCGCAAAUAUUUAUGUUGUUGAUUUUCCUUAUUUUUGUAGGUUUGGCGAGAUCUAAAUGGUUGGCUUAGAAGUAGGAUUUUGUUAGUUGAAAACUUUAUGUUUGAUUGUGCUAGAUGUGUACCUAUCAAGUAUGUUUGAUUGUGCUAGAUGUGUACCUAUCAACUAUAUGAGAUCGAUUUGAUCAAUGUCUCAGUACAUUCUUGUGUUUUUUCUUAUUUUUUGUGAUUCCGUAGCGUAGCACGGGCAUCUUACUAGUAAAAGUAAGCAAGGUGGCCUAAUCCAUUUUGUAGCAAAGGAUAAGCCUGGACAAGUUCCUAUAAUGAGAAAAGCGCUCCCGAGGACACAUGGGAAUUAUCGUCAAGCUAGUUUUCAU
This 3555-nucleotide long non-coding RNA is filed under the name Triticum aestivum (bread wheat). Its description in RNAcentral is "long non-coding RNA (TAES_LNC003034)". The stretch from base 2633 to 2719 matches the Rfam family "MIR1120/MIR1122 microRNA precursor family". Lineage: Eukaryota; Viridiplantae; Streptophyta; Magnoliopsida; Poales; Poaceae. The record is from RNAcentral.